GGGCCCUUAGCUCAUCAGGUAGAGCAUCGGACUUUUAAUCCGGCGGGCAGGGUUCGAGUCCCUGAGGGCCCA
RNAcentral lists this transfer RNA (72 nucleotides) under Thermoleophilaceae bacterium. Its description in RNAcentral is "tRNA-Lys". It matches the Rfam family "tRNA". From Rfam's summary of the family: Transfer RNA (tRNA) molecules are approximately 80 nucleotides in length. The record is from RNAcentral. Lineage: Bacteria; Bacillati; Actinomycetota; Thermoleophilia; Thermoleophilales; Thermoleophilaceae.